CAUGGUGCCCCUGCUCUCCUCUGCACCUCCUGAUUGGACCCAGCUGCCAGCACUCUUCUCAUCAGCCACAGUCAGCUAUUUAAGAGAGGCCUGCUCCAGCAUUCUUCGCCAGUUCGUUACCUUAACCGGAUUUCUACUACCACGUGCUGACCUGGGUCCAUUGCCACUUAGCUCCACCAUCUACCCGGCUGCAGGACCACACCAUCAUCCAACUCACCUGCUGGUUCUUUGCUCCACCGCCUGGUCUCCUGCUGAUCCUCAUCCGCCUCCUCCUGCUGCCACUCCACUCCAGCUUCAGUGCCCAAAACCUCAUCGGACAAUAAACUCUUUCCUACUGCCU
This is a long non-coding RNA of Oryzias melastigma (Indian medaka), 340 nucleotides long. RefSeq lists it as uncharacterized. The transcript is spliced from 2 exons. The record is from RefSeq and is a predicted model, not a curated record. Lineage: Eukaryota; Metazoa; Chordata; Actinopteri; Beloniformes; Adrianichthyidae.